Molecule: long non-coding RNA, 1112 nt
Organism: Eriocheir sinensis (Chinese mitten crab)
Lineage: Eukaryota; Metazoa; Arthropoda; Malacostraca; Decapoda; Varunidae
Exons: 3
Source: RefSeq, a predicted model, not a curated record
UGGGCGAAGGUCACAUCUCACACAGUGGCCUCGACGACGUUGUGCGCGUCGCAAAGAACGGAGGCUUCGUGAUCAUCGUGAUGCGCCAUGAGUUCCUACAGACCGUGCCUUCCUACAAGGACAAGCUGGAGCCUUACAUGGACCAGCUGGAGGCGGACGGGAAGUGGAAGAAGGUGGAGCGGCGCAUCGUCCCAAACUAUUUCUGUGACAAGGAGGGUCUCGUCUUCGUCUUCCGCAUCACUAAGCCUGAGUGAGGAGGAAGAGGAGGGAAGGGAAAGGAGAGAGAUGAAGAGGAGGAGUUAUAGUGGUGCUGUGCCAAGGCCGUCUCUGUGUAACAGCCUUGGCUUUCGUCGCGGCACCCGAGACUGAGGUGUGAAUUAUCGUGGUAUCAUGGCGUAUACGAUGUUAUAUGAUAGUCUACGCAUAGGGCACAUUUGUCAGUAUUAAUCAUAUUAUUGAAAUUGUCGUAAAAAUCUGUUUUAGUUUAUAAGACUGAGGCUGCAGAAUCCUUAACCUCAGACCUUGCUAUCAUCUCCGAUUGGGAUAAAAGGAAACUUUGGGUUUUUGUGUCCUUCAAUGCCUCAAAAACCCAAUUUAUCCACCUUUCAACUCGACACAAUCUUCCAAACACCUAUCCCUUAUUCUUCAACUACACUCAGCUGUCACCUUAUAAUUCUUCAGAACUAAAUAUCCUCGGUCUGUCCUUAACUCAAAAUCUUAACUGGAAACGUCAUACUCUUCUUUCACUAAAUCAGCUUCCUCGAGGUUGGGCGUUCUGUAUCGUGUCCUCCAGUUCUUCUCCCCCGCACAGUUGCUCUACAUAUACAGGGGCCUUGUCCGCCCUCGUAUGGAGUAUCCAUCGCACGUAUGUGGGGGGCUCUACUCACACAGCUCUUCUCUACCUUUCGGCCACUCCUCUGUUGUAAAAAAAAUAACAAGGUCGCUAAUUAUGUAACUGUAUGUGUGUGUGCAUGUGUAAUGGCAAGUUGCCAGAGCACGAUAACGAAGACCUCAGACUCAUGUGCUGCGACUAUAGUAUACGUUUAGGAAUGCUUGGUCUGGGUCUUGGGGUCUUGAUGAUGUACAGACAUGUAUAUAUAUAUAUAUAUAUA